RNAcentral lists this ribosomal RNA (311 nucleotides) under Cyrtognatha atopica. RNAcentral's name for it is "bacterial SSU rRNA". It matches the Rfam family "Eukaryotic small subunit ribosomal RNA", at positions 1490 to 1793 of the family's 1831-position model. The record is from RNAcentral. Lineage: Eukaryota; Metazoa; Arthropoda; Arachnida; Araneae; Tetragnathidae.
CACGCGCGCCACAUUGAAGGUGACAGCGUGCAAUUACUCUCCUGCUCCGAGAGGAGUGGGUAAUCAUUUCAGACGCCUUCGUCCUUGGGAUAGGGGUCUGAUAACUCCCCCUUGAACGAGGAAUCCCUCGUAAGCCUGAGUCAUGAGCUCGUGCUGAAUAAGUCACUGCGCUUUGUACACAUCGCCCGUCGCUAUUAUCGAUGAUCGGGCGAGUGAGAUCACCGGACCGGCUGACAAUUUACGAAUCUUCGUGAAGGGUCGAGCCCGGAAAGAUGAUCGAACUCGAACGGUUAGAGAAAAUAAAAGUCGUA